This is a non-coding RNA of Hordeum vulgare subsp. vulgare (domesticated barley), 136 nucleotides long. NCBI's taxonomy places the organism in Eukaryota, Viridiplantae, Streptophyta, Magnoliopsida, Poales, Poaceae. The record is from Rfam.
CUAGUACUCCCUCCGUCUCAAAAUUCUCGUCUUAUAUUUGUUUAGAUAUGAAUAUAUCUAGUCAAGUUUUAGUAUUUAGNNACAUCCAUUUCUAGACAAAGCUAAGGCAAGAAUUAUGGGACGGGGGGAGUAUAUU